GUCGCUGUGGCCGAGUGGUUAAGGCGUGUGCCUUCUAUGUACAUGGUGUUUUCGCGCGAUAGUUCGAAUCUCUCAUGCGACA
Cucurbita pepo subsp. pepo (vegetable marrow) is the source of this 82-nucleotide non-coding RNA. NCBI's taxonomy places the organism in Eukaryota, Viridiplantae, Streptophyta, Magnoliopsida, Cucurbitales, Cucurbitaceae. The record is from the annotation of a RefSeq genome assembly.